This is a long non-coding RNA of Mercenaria mercenaria, 5823 nucleotides long. RefSeq lists it as uncharacterized. The transcript has 3 exons. NCBI's taxonomy places the organism in Eukaryota, Metazoa, Mollusca, Bivalvia, Venerida, Veneridae. The record is from RefSeq and is a predicted model, not a curated record.
AUUGUUGCAUAUAAACAUUAAAUUUAAGUGACAUGUCAAUAAAUUACAAAAACAAAAACUAAUUAAUCUGUUGCAUACAGCAUACGAAGCUAUUUAAAGACACCGCCCGGAAAUGCUACAUCAUUAUUGAUUUAUCAAGAUGACAAACUGCGAUAUUGUACAAUAUUGUCUGGUAUGGAAAGAGGAUAUUUCAAAUAUAUCUGUGGUUUAAUUUUGCAGCUUGAUCAUGAAAUUCUGGGAGUGCCACUGCAAACUUUCCUCACAGUUUCUAUUGUGAGUUAAGGAAACCAGUUGUUGGAUAUAGACAGGAGACAAAUAUAUCAUUAACAUGAUUUCAACAUUUAUAUUUUAUGUAUGUGAUUUGUAUGUUCCUGGAAGAGAAAUUCUGAGAAUUCUGAAAAUUACUGAGCACUGGAAAAUAAAUGUACUAUUAUUUCAUUUGGCGAAUACUCAAAUAAACAGGAAGUAUUCUUUAAAAAUCGAAAGAUACAAUAGACUUUGUGGUUAUUAAAUAAAAACUUACAUAAUUGUCUCGACUUUUAAAACAGGAAAUUAUCAAAUAACACUGUUGUUUAUCAUAAUUAUGUUAAGAAAAAAAAAAUAAAUCAAAAUUUUUCUGUGAUGAAUCUCUAUAACGGAAGUCUACAAUAUGAUUUUUUUUUUAAAAACAGAAUGACGUAAGAUCUAUUUCAGGAAGGAAACCACAAAUACAUGAUUGUGUACAGAGGAACAGUCAAUAUAAUUUCAAGAUAUGAAAACAGUGUCUUUACAGUAAUAUAUUAUGGAUAUAUGAAUAAUCAAAGAUCUUUCUGAAAAAGAAAACAACUGCUAACGACUUUGAUCAAUAAAAAAAAAAAACGGUUUAUAUUUUCGGAUGUUAGCAAGUCGACAGUGAGUCAAUCCUAAUGUCGGAUAUGGCGUGAUACUUGUAGCGUGAUCAGUUGAUAUCCAGCUGCACCAGACCAGAGGAGAACUAACCUGAGUUUUGAACACACACAUGCUUAGAGAAAGGCAGUUCCAAGCUGAUGUACCAGAGCAAUCAAUCAAGGGUUUCAUCACUGACUAAAGUAGAAGAUGGAAGUUGCUAAGCAGAGGGAGGACUGCAGGUCCUCCACUUUAUUUGCUACAGAUAAAAUAGCCUGGACUUCAGACCACAUUAGCAGGGGAAAAUCACCAUCCCCCUGCCCUUAAAACCCCUUAUCAAUGGUGUCAUUACCCACACUAAAGUUCAACAUUUGGCUCCUUUUAAAACGCUGUAGCAAGAUGAAGAACAAACACACAGAAACCAAGAUAUCUGUUAAAAUCCUAAGACACUCGCUGGACUUAUGGCAAACUGCAGUUACACUCGGACAACUCCUACAAUGUAGCUCCAUACAGAUGCAACAAAAAAUGUCAAGCUCUGUGAAAAAUUGACAUUUGAAAGCUGAUGGAUAACAAGAGCUGUCCGUAAGACAGCACGCUCUACUUUUCUUAGUGCUUGACUCUGAAUCAGAGCUUUGCCAGUAAAAGGGGCUUAACUCAAUCAAAUAUAUAAUCAGAGUUAUGGGGAUUGUUUCUCCUGGUGUAGACUUUGAUAGUAAAUAACUAUUUUACGUUUCAAGUGAAUAGCUUUGAUAGUGACAGAGAUAUCUGACUUUAUCAAAAACAUUAACUAAGGCAAUGGCCACGCCGGGGCGAGUGCAAUAGCUGAUUUUUCUUUGAAAAGUCGAGCAAAAAAUGGCAGAAAUUUUUUAAUUUAAACAGUAUUAUUUAAUGUAUUCCGUCCAUAACAGAAAACCCACUCUUCAAAAGCAUGUUUUCGGAAAACCAUCACAGGUAUCUUGCAGAGACAGUUGUGUUCUCAAGGUAAUCUUGAUUCAAUGUAUCAUGUUUGGGGAAAACCAUUGUAGCUCAACAGCUGACCUGAUCCAGUCCACAAGUCAGGGCUAACGAUUCACAGAUCUAACUAAGAAUUUCAUUGCAAGGACCAUACAGCCACAAUCAUUUUUAUAAAAUCAAUGAACUAAUCAAGCUAAUAUAAAAGUGUAUUAGGUCAAGUUAAGACAUUAAAAGAACAGCAGUUCUGCCUGCUCCUUAUUAUCUAAUGUAAACUAUUUCUUGUGUCUUCUGGAGAUAGCCGAUUCCUCCACAACCUCUGCUUUAUUAUAAAGCUUUUAAAGCAUGCAGAUAAUGGGAAUAUAUUAUUAAAAUCAGGCUUACAUAACAAAGUGUUAGCAUAUUCAUUUACACAAAUCAAUACCGUAAUAGUACGAGUAUAGGUCGCACUCGUUUAUAAGAAACAGUGAAAAAUUAUCUACAGAUCUCUGGAAAAAUGCUUAUACUCGUUGCAGAAAAAAAGGGAAUCUCAAAAACAUGUAAAUUUGUAUUAAGGAAAUGUGAUUUUUCCAGCAUCGGUAGGCCAUUGUUGCAGUACAUAUAAUGUUAACAAAGUUGUGAAAACAACUUAUUUAAAUUGCGAGGUGAGAUAGUACUAAAAUGACAGUUUCAAUGGAAUUUACAGCUGAGACAACAGAGGUAUAUCGGUGACAAUAACUGAGAGGUUAAUCAAGUGACAGAUGUCAAAUUGAGAAUGAGAUGCUAUUCAAAACACAGAUAUUUAAACUUGUGUCCAAACUAUUUCAAACUUCUCAACACCUUUUCAAUUUCAUCACCUUUCAAACAGGGUUAGAAUUUAACAGUUUUUUGCACAAGUUUGCAAAUUUUUGCAAGUACAAAAAUUUCAACUCGCAAUUUAUCAACUUUAGUCGCAAUUUUGUAUAACCGUUUUGGACAGAAAAAAAGGCUCUGUUCUCCAUGACACUACCGGUAAGUGUGUGUAGUACAAAACACGCUUUUUCCAUCAAAUAUUGUGCAUGCACAUACUGGUAGUCACCGUGUUAUGUAAUCAGAAUCUGCAAACAGUCCAUGCACUAUGUAAAAACGUCAUCAAUCAGUGCAUACUGUGUGAAACAUCAUCAUUAAAUGCGUAUUUACAACAUAUCAAAACGGAACGUUAAAGAAAUUAAAACCGUCGUUAUUUCUACUUGAGAUUUUGCACUCACGUUUGGGUAAAACUCACUCGCAUUUUGCGAGUAUACGAAAUGACGAGUUAUAGAAAUGUGUUGCAAAAUGUAUUUUAAUGAAAAAAAAACAGCAUUUCUUUUAAAGUUUUUGCGGGAGCUCUUAAUUUGAUAUUUUAUACAAAAUUCAUUUAAGAAGCCGGGUCUCGAUACCAGCUUUUAGCUAUUCCCGAGUCAUAGGUAGUUAUUCCCCUUGAAUUCCCUUCAAUGUAAAGGUACACGGUGUAAACAAAGAUAAAUUUUCUUAAUUUUUUGUGUCAGGGAAAAAAUGUGGUCUUGUUCUAUACCCAUGUAUAGGUCGCACCAGUCCUUCCUGACCAGAAUCUCGGUAAAAAAGGUUUGUCUUAUACUCAUACAAUGACAGUAGUUAUUCAAUUCAAUUUUAUAAACUUUCUCAGACGCAUACUGAAGAAAGGCACUAUUCAAAUUACAGACAGUUUAACUGGUAUGAACAUGUUUUUCUCUCUACUUAAUAACUUAAAUUUGGACUUUUUUCUAUGCAACAUUUCACCAAGAAAUAUAAAUUGAAACUAAUAAUAUAGUUUCAGCCUUGAAUACUUCACCAUAAAUAAGUAAAAAUAAAUUAAUUAUAACAAAACAGAGCUGUCACUGGUUGAAAUUUUUGUAUGGUAUAAUCGAUAUAUUAGCUGGUAAAUUGACAAAACAUCAAUAUAUAUACAUGUACAACACCCUUAUGCAGAAUUAUGGCAUAAAAAAUAGAUGUACAUCAAAAUCAAUUUCAGAGUUAGAGUAGAUUUUUUUGCCUUUGAAUAAAACAUGUUCUGCAUUUACAUGAAGAUUUAUCAAGAAAUAGUGUCACUGAACCUAUAAAACAGUGCAAAAUGCAAACAAGUCUCAAAUUAAGUACUUUCUGGGGUAAAAUUAUCCUUCUACUUUAAUUCUGUGAAUUACAUACAAAUGUAUAUGAAUGAAAACACUAAUAAACUCAAGGCAACUAGCAUCAUCACACAACGUGCCCCUUCCAGCACAUGAGAAACAUCUUCAAAUCAAGCAAAUAUCAUUGACUUCCAUCAACUGUUUAUUAAAAAACAUUCGUAUUUUCUUUUUGCGAAUUUAAUAUGUUAAAAAAACAAUUAAAAUGCUGGAACUACUUGAAAUGAAAUCUUCAUUUGGAAAAAGUAAAAAAAAAAAAUUGCUGAUGGGUAAUUACAAAGUAACUGGCAGGCAGGGCUGAAAAUCAAGCAAAUGCAUUUAUCUGCUAUGCUUUCCUCCAGCUGAAUAUGGCACAGUCAUUGUUACUUACCUGCAAAUCUUUCCGACAGUGGCAGCUCUGUCGGGUCAUUGACAGUGAUUCCCUUGUUAGGGGUAUCAACUGCCUUCUUCCAUGUAGCCAACCGUUCUGUGACCGGUUGGCUUGUCGGUUCAUCUCCCGACGUCAACUGCUCCCCAUCUUUCCGGUUCACAGGUACCUGGUUUGUUACUGUGCGAACCUAAAAAAACAGUCCAGUUAUUGAGUAUUUUAUUACUUCAGUUCUAUUAUCUUUUCCAAUUAUGUUGCAAACAUAAAUCUUAAAUCUUCUUCUCAAACAUGAAAUGUAAAUUGUAUCUUUUUUCAUUAAUAAACAUGAUAAAUUAAUGAAAUUCAAACCAUGUCACAAGGAAAGGUGAAAAAAGUUAUGUUGAAACUAAGCGUCUAGUAGUCAAGUUUAUUUACAAACAAACAAUGAAACAAAAUGUAAUGGAAAAACUCAAUAAUAAUAAUAAAAAAAAUGUUUUUCUUGGUUUUCUUGGUCCCUUUCUUUUCUAUCAGUUUCUAGUCUUUUUUUUUUUAAAAGAAUAUCUCUUGUACAGCAUUUCACACAUACAAUACAAAACACUUAGCAGAGAUAAUACAUGUUUGAAUGUUUACCUGGUGUGUAUAUUUUGGGGAGCCAACAGAUUGCGGCUGUUGCAGCUGUAUUGUAUGUGUGCUCACUUUGGGAGAGCCCGAGGGAGCACUGGGAGCUGGAGUCCUCUUAGGGGAAGCAGCCCUAGCUGGGGACGGUGCUCGAGGUGGUUUAGGGGGUCCAGAGAUAUUCUGUGGUACCGGUGGGGCUGGAGGAGCCGGGGCUUCUUUUUUCUUUGGUGAGGGAGCUGGACCAGGACCACUGUUGUGGUUUAUCCUCUUAGGUCCCUGGUACAGCUCAUACUCCUUCCUUGGUGAGGAGACAUGCCUGUCCCUAGCGUCAUUGUGUGGCUGGUUGUUACCACUAUCACGCUGGGGUGGCUGCCAUCUUGGUUUCUUUUCUUCUUGUUUUCUGUAGAGAAAAUAAUAAUACAUGUUAUAUGUAUAAAGACAGCACACUGACAUAACACAAACAGAAAUUAUAACAAAAUACCAAUAAUAAUAAUAAAUGGUAGUAAAUAUUCAAUACAUAUUUGACAAACAGAUUUGCAUAGUAAUCCUUCAUCAAUGUAGCACUACAGGGAAAAACUAAAGCUAUAAUACUAAUAACAAAAUUUUAAAUGAGAAUAAUGAUAGACAUUAUUUCAUGAGAUUCCGCAGCUUUUUUUAAUACACGUGACUUCCUGGUCUCUCAAGCCCUAACUGAGAUGGUUUUCCUAUUGGUAAAACUUGCUUUCAUUCUUCUUUCUUUUCGAUAGUGAAAACAUAUCAGAGGCUCUCAAGCUCAAUCUUAAGUUGCUGUUUACUAUGAUAUAUUUUUAUACAAUCAUGUGAUACAUGUACUACAAUAUUAAUGUACAUAGAUCAUAAUCGAACAUACAGAUUUACAUUUAGUAUAUAUUUAUGUUAAGAUUCUUA